Long non-coding RNA from Lycium barbarum (goji berry), 552 nucleotides. RefSeq lists it as uncharacterized. The transcript has 5 exons. Lineage: Eukaryota; Viridiplantae; Streptophyta; Magnoliopsida; Solanales; Solanaceae. The record is from RefSeq and is a predicted model, not a curated record.
AGUUGGGUUCCCUCAAAAUUGUUUCCCCCUAAUUUAUAAUGCCUAGAUUAAAGCUUUUGUUUCCUAUUAGGGGUCAAAACCCUACAAAGACUAAGCACUUAAAAGAAAAUAGAGAAGUUACCGUCAUCUUCUCCCAUCUCAAUCCCUACUUUCAACUUUUGUUCUCAAGGAAUAACUAAGUUUGGUGAGAUGCGUACAAUUGUGCUCGAUUUGCUUGCGGAUCUAUCCGAAAAUCAAAUUAGAAAUCGAUUUGCUUGUGAAUCUACCCGAAAAUCAAAGUAGAGUGUUAGCAAAUUAUGCAGCUCGAGGCUGGUUUAAAACAACAAGCUAUGCUAUAUCGGGAGGGGUGGGGCAAGUUGGUUGGUGUCUUCGGAGAUUUACUCGGCUCAUGGUCGACAACAAAUGAUUCAAAUCUAAUUCUUGGCGAGGAGUGAUGAAAGCAUCAAAAUCGACAACGCAUGAAUAAUUAUUUUUCUCUUGUAAAAGUAUAUUAAUAUAUUUGAAUAGAAUGAUGUUUCACUAUUUUGAAUGAUAUCGUUGAACCUUUAUUAA